UAAAGAUCACACGCUUAAGAAGUUUGGACAAAAAGGAAAGAAGAGACCGGUCUGUAGGUGUUUUCUUCAGAUGGGAUAACUCUUGCCUCCUUCAGAGAGUUGGGAAAAGUCAGAUGACAGAAGAGUUAAUGAGACAGGUGAGGAAAGGAAGAAGGUCAGGAGCGAUAGAUUGUAGCAUAUGGGGUGCAAUGGGGUCAAGAGGCCAGGUGGUCGGACGGGCAGAGGUUACUACGGUAAGAAUACGGUUAGGAGACAGGGGGAGUGAAAGGAAAGUGAGGGCGAUGGAGGUAGAAGUCGGUGGGACACAAGUAAUAGGAGAUAGGUUUGAGAAAGGAGCGUAAAAUAGUUGACAAAGGUCCCGGAAGAAGGGUGGAGGGGGGAGGAGGACUCCGGCGUCAGAGAAGGUUGUGGAAGAGAGAAGAGUUUUUGGGGGUUAGAAAAAGAGGAUUCAAUUGGAUUGGUAGAAAGAGCUUUUGGGAGCGGAGACAGAAGCAGAAAAAGAGGAGAGACAAGAUUGAAACGCAAGCAGGUCAUCACGUUGUUUAUAUUAACUUCACUUUACUCCUUUCUGAUGCAUGCAUGGUGGCUCUCACAGCACGCACCGGUUGAGACAGCCACAGAGCCUGGAGGGGAUUUGCUAGUCCGUCGUGUUGUAAGAGGAGGAAAGAGUUGAGAGAAGAGUCUCUGCGUCAGUGUUCGGAGUGAGAAGGAGUCAGUUGAAGGGAGAGCUGAUAGAACAGAGGAGGGAGAGAGGGAGCGAAUGUCAGUUGAUGGGGUGGGGUCGUUAGUUCGAGGGAGCGGAAGAGAGUAGGCGAUGAAGAAGUUGUCAGACGUGAAAUGAAGUUACAGUGAGGUUAGAGGUAAAGCAGUUUCUGGGGAAGAUAUAGUCAAGGUGAUUACCGGCUUUUUGAGUAGGAGGAGAGUGGCACUAGUGCCAAAGAAGAAAGUAGGAAUAAAACGUCAGAUGACUUCUGUCUGGAUUUUAAAGUACAAAAACCUGAAAUUCAGCAAACAAUUCUUAUUGAUGUGUGCGAGACAGUGUCUGCCAGAAUGUUAGCACACCACUUCUUUUAACAAGUUGAACCCUUGUAGGUAAAGUGACAGCCGCAUGAUGCACUGCUUGGCAGUUUUCAUCCUGGAAAGAAACACAAGGCGAUUUUGGUUACAUUUCAUGCUAAAGAGGUUCCUGUGGUACUGAAAUGCAUGUCAGGUACCAGCUCUGCUGGGAAAGCUCUGUGCAACCACAUUGUGGCCUCAUUGUUUCAAAGUGCUCACUACUGUACCAUGGGCUUCAAGCAAUGUACCAUUGCCACUGUCAUGCACCAGCUCCCUGCAGACCUGGCCUAGGACACAUGGAAUUGCUCCUGAGGCAACAAAUGACAUGGUAGUGUGUAAACCAGUACCGAAGUCCAAGGAUCAUGCCCAAACUGGUGUGAAAUGUACACUGUACAGAGCAUAUGGUGGUCCUCUUCCAGAUCCUCACAUCAUUGCCAGUGUUGAGAAACUGCGAGACAAACGCCCACAACCAGGCAUUUGUAAAUUGCUCCACGGGCUUGAGGCCCUUAAUUUUGUGGACUCUAAAUUUGGCCCUGUGCCAUUUGGGUCUUUGCUCUCUUACCCUGGUGCCCCUGGAUUUCCUCAGUUGCCCGUUGAAGGUCAUAAUUUUAAAUAUCAAAUACAAUUUGAGUCUAACUACAAGAAACAAUGCCACUUAGAAAGCCUUAAUCGAAGCACAAACACGACUGCAGUCACAAUGCCCGCUGUGGACCCAGGUACGCAAACCCCGACUUACAGCCAGCAGAUUUGGUGAGAUUUGUCAUGUCCGUGGAGGGUCAACUGCAAAAUCCUUAGCUGUUCGCAUUCUGAGAGAAACUCCUCAGACAGCAGCUAUGAAAAGAGGGCUGGAACUGGAGCCUGACAUACUGAGGCAAUAUUCUGAUUUAUGUGAGGUCACUGUGACGCAGUGUGGGGUCGUCAUCCACCCUGAUGCACCUCACCUUGCAGCCAGCCCUGAUGCUAAAGUCUUCAACCCCAGAGAAACACCACCAUUUGGGUUAGCAGAGGUAAAGAGUUGUGAUGUUGAAGAUGUUUCUCAAGUUAAACACCUGAUCAUAGUUCGAGGCCAGGCCUGCCUUAAGAAAAGCCACAAAUUUUACUAUCAGGUUCAAGGCCAGCUGGCCAUAAGCGGACUUCAGUGGUGUGAUUUCUAACAGAUACUCACACUGACUUCACAGUUGAAAGAAUAUUUAGGGAUGAGGAGAUCAUCAACUCAAUGCGACAGAAGCUGGAUUAUUUUUAUCACAACAUCUACAUGGAUGUGUUAUUACGUUGAGACAGAAUUUUCAAAUGUAAAUAGUUCCAUGUACAUCUGAUGCAUGUUAUUCCUGUUGUAAAUACUUUUUCCAUUUACAACUUAAGUCAGAGUGCAUUGUAUGUAAAUAUCCUUUGUCUUAUCGAGCAGUGAUCACUCUAGUUUUUACAGUCUUAGUUGCAAGGAACUGCUUCC
Molecule: long non-coding RNA, 2506 nt
Organism: Gasterosteus aculeatus aculeatus (three-spined stickleback)
Lineage: Eukaryota; Metazoa; Chordata; Actinopteri; Perciformes; Gasterosteidae
Source: Ensembl